This 253-nucleotide ribosomal RNA is filed under the name uncultured bacterium. Its description in RNAcentral is "partial 16S ribosomal RNA". It matches the Rfam family "Bacterial small subunit ribosomal RNA", at positions 524 to 776 of the family's 1533-position model. The record is from RNAcentral.
UACGGGGGGGGCAAGCGUUGUUCGGAAUUACUGGGCGUAAAGGGUCUGUAGGUGGCCAAUUAAGUCAGACGUGAAAUCCCUCAGCUUAACUGGGGAACUGCGUCUGAGACUGGAUGGCUCGAGUGCAGGAGAGGAAUGCGGAAUUCCAGGUGUAGCGGUGAAAUGCGCAGAUAUCAGGAGGAACACCGGUGGCGAAGGCGGAUCUCUGGGCCAUUACUGACGCUGAGGAGCGAAAGCGUGGGGAGCGAACAGG